Molecule: long non-coding RNA, 255 nt
Filed under: Prunus persica (peach)
Lineage: Eukaryota; Viridiplantae; Streptophyta; Magnoliopsida; Rosales; Rosaceae
Description: long non-coding RNA (PPER_LNC006051)
Source: RNAcentral
AAUAAUUUAGGCCCCUAUAUUGAGCAUAAUAGUGAAAAAACUUCCUUUUAAUUUUCAAUCAAAGUUAGACUAUUGUUAAUUCUCAGCAUACAUAACUUCACAAUUUUACAGUUUAACAAUUUUUUUAAAUCAAACAAAAAAAAACAACAAUUUUUCGUUAUAUGAAAUAACAAAUCUCAAAAGCCGAAUAAUUUGUACAAUUCCUAGAGGCUCAUUCCCCCGGAGAAGUAAUCAUUUGCAUAGGCCAUAUGCAUG